This 86-nucleotide transfer RNA is filed under the name Siphoviridae sp. ctnPP24. RNAcentral describes it as "tRNA-Val". Lineage: Duplodnaviria; Heunggongvirae; Uroviricota; Caudoviricetes. The record is from RNAcentral.
GUAUGCGAAAUUGGCAGACGCUCCAGUUGUACACACUGGUGGGGGGGGGAGAAACCCCGUACAGGUUCGAGUCCUGUUGCCGCACA